GUCCAGCCCCGUUUGGGGUCCAGCCCCGUUUGGGGUUCAGGGGUCCAGCUCCAUUUGGGUCCAGUCCCUUUUGGGGUCCAGCCCCGUUUGGGGUUCAGGGGUCCAGCCCCAUUUGAGUCCAGCCCCAUUUGGGGUCCAGUCCCAUUUGGGGUCCAGUCCCUUUUGGGGUCCAGCCCCGUUUGGGGUUCAGGGGUCCAGCCCCAUUUGAGUCCAGCCCCAUUUGGGGUCCAGCCCCAUUUGGGGUUCAGGGGUCCAGCCCCAUUUGAGUCCAGCCCCUUUUGGGGUCCAGCCCCGUUUGGGGUUCAGGGGUCCAGCCCCGUUUGGGGUUCAGGGGUCCAGCUCCAUUUGGGUCCAGCCCCGUUUGGGGUCCAGCCCCGUUUGGGGUCCAGCCCCGUUUGGGGUUCAGGGGUCCAGCUCCAUUUGAGUCCAGUCCCUUUUGGGGUCCAGCCCCGUUUGGGGUUCAGGGGUCCAGCUCCAUUUGGGUCCAGUCCCUUUUGGGGUCCAGCCCCGUUUGGGGUCCAGCCCCGGCCCCAUUUGGGGUUCAGCCCCAGCCCCAUUUGGGGUUCAGUUCUGGCCCCAUUUGGGGUUUUAGGGGUGCAGCCCCAGCCCCAUUUGGGGUCCGGCCCCAGCCCCAUUUGGGAUUCAGGGCUCCAGCCCUAUUUGGGGCCCAGCCCCAUUUGGGGUCCAGUCCCAUUUGGGGUUCAGGGGUCCAGUUCCAUUUGGGGUCUGGCCCCAUUUGGGGUCCAGCCCCGUUUGGGGUCCAGUCCCAUUUGGGGUCCAGUCCCAUUUGGGGCCCAGCCCCGUUUGGGGUUCAGGGGCCCAGUCCCAUUUGGGGCCCAGCCCCGUUUGGGGUUCAGGGGCCCAGUCCCAUUUGGGGUCCAGCCCCGGCCCCAUUUGGGGCCCAGCCCCGUUUGGGCUCCAGCCCCAUUUGGUGCCGCCCCCGGCCGUGCCCAGGCCCGGCUCAAAGUCCCGCAGGUUCCCCGAUCCCGUUGCGGUUCCUGUCCCGGGAAAUCAUUAACUGGGAUCGGGGCGGCGCCGGGACCUUCGGACCCCGCUGUGGGACAGCGGCACGGCCCUUCCCGGGAACGGGAUCGGCCCAGCGGGAACGGGAUCGGCCCAGCUGGAAUGGGAUUGUCCCAGUGGGAAUGGGAUCGCCCUGCUGGGAAUGGGAUUGUCCCAGCUGGAAUGGGAUUGUCCCAGUGGGAAUGGGAUCGGCCCAGUGAGAAUGGGAUUGUCCUGCUGGGAAUGGGAUCGGCCCAGCGGGAAUGGGAUCGGCCCAGUGAGAAUGGGAUUGUCCCAGCGGGAAUGGGAUUGUCCUGCUGGGAAUGGGAUCGGCCCAGCGGGAAUGGGAUCAUCCUGCUGGGAAUGGGAUUGUCCCAGUGGGAAUGGGAUCGGCCCAGCUGGAAUGGGAUCGUCCCAGUGGGAAUGGGAUCGGCCCAGCGGGAAUGGGAUCAGCCCAGCGGGAAUGGGAUCGUCCCAGGGGGAAUGGGAUCGUCCCAGGGGGAAUGGGAUCGGCCCAGCGGGAAUGGGAUCAGCCCAGCGGGAAU
Corvus moneduloides (New Caledonian crow) is the source of this 1547-nucleotide long non-coding RNA. The record is from Ensembl. NCBI's taxonomy places the organism in Eukaryota, Metazoa, Chordata, Aves, Passeriformes, Corvidae.